This 274-nucleotide ribosomal RNA is filed under the name uncultured bacterium. Its description in RNAcentral is "partial 16S ribosomal RNA". It matches the Rfam family "Archaeal small subunit ribosomal RNA", at positions 473 to 747 of the family's 1478-position model. The record is from RNAcentral.
AAACCAGCACCUCAGGUGGUCAGGAUGAUUAUUGGGCCUAAAGCAUCCGUAGCCUGCUCUGUAAGUUUUCGGUUAAAUCUGUACGCUUAACGUACAGGCUGUCGGAAAUACUGCAGAGCUAGGGAGUGGGAGAGGUAGACGGUACUCGGGAGGAAGUGGUAAAAUGCUUUGAUCUCUCGAUGACCACCUGUGGCGAAGGCGGUCUACCAGAACACGUCCGACGGUGAGGGAUGAAAGCUGGGGGAGCAAACCGGAUUAGAAACCCCAGUAGUCC